Molecule: unclassified non-coding RNA, 277 nt
Filed under: air metagenome
Description: partial contains small subunit ribosomal RNA, internal transcribed spacer 1, and 5.8S ribosomal RNA
Rfam family: Eukaryotic small subunit ribosomal RNA (bases 1-46)
Source: RNAcentral
AAGUCGUAACAAGGUUUCCGUAGGUGAACCUGCGGAAGGAUCAUUAUCGAGUUUUGAACGGGUUGUAGCUGGCCUUUCACAAGGCAUGUGCACGCCUGACUCAUCCACUCCUUAACCCCUGUGCACUUUUCAUGGAUCAGGCGGAAGGCUGAGAAUUUAUUCUCAGUUCGAUGUCUGCUCUGUGUAAUUUUACUACCAACUCUUGUUGUCAAUGAAUGUCUUCUUGCGGAUAACGCAAACAAUAAAAUAACUUUCAGCAACGGAUCUCUUGGCUCUC